GGUCGCGUGGCCCAAUGGGUAAGUAACGUCUUCAACCACCUACUAUCACACACAACUAACAAAUAAUACAGCAAGGCGUCUGACUACGAAUCAGGAGAUUGUGGGUUCGAUCCCCACCGUGACCU
This is a non-coding RNA of Ilyonectria robusta, 125 nucleotides long. The record is from the annotation of a RefSeq genome assembly. Lineage: Eukaryota; Fungi; Ascomycota; Sordariomycetes; Hypocreales; Nectriaceae.